Molecule: microRNA precursor, 110 nt
Filed under: Podarcis lilfordi (Lilford's wall lizard)
Lineage: Eukaryota; Metazoa; Chordata; Lepidosauria; Squamata; Lacertidae
Source: RNAcentral
GUGGGGGUUUUUGUGUGUGUGUUUGUUUGUUUGUUUGUUUUUUGCAUUCUUCAAAUUAAGAAUACACACAAACAAACAAACAAACAAACACACACACACACACCACACAC